RNAcentral lists this ribosomal RNA (39 nucleotides) under Diaporthe citriasiana. RNAcentral describes it as "partial 18S ribosomal RNA". The record is from RNAcentral. Lineage: Eukaryota; Fungi; Ascomycota; Sordariomycetes; Diaporthales; Diaporthaceae.
CUGGAACGCGCCCCGGCGCACCCAGAAACCCUUUGUGAA